UUGCCGUCCAACAGAAAGAAGAGGACAAAUGGAAGAAAGAAAAAGACAACUGGAAGAAAAAGGAAAACUUGAAGAAAGAAGAAAACAACUGGAAGAGUAAACAAGACAACUUGGAGAAAGCAGAAGACAACUAGAAAAGAGAAAACAACUAGCAGAGAGAAGACUGUGACUGCGAGGCUUCUUCAGAGGAUGAACAGCCCAACAAGAACCUUUGACUUAGAAUAGCAGCUGCUGCACAUGUUUUGGCCACAAUCAUCGUGAAGUUCGUCUGCAUGAAUUUUGAUGGAAAAAGAAGAGAGGAGGAUGACUGCCAUAGACAAGGAACAGCAACCAAGUGGCUCUUACCAAGGAUUGGUA
Saccostrea cuccullata (small rock oyster) is the source of this 357-nucleotide long non-coding RNA. RefSeq lists it as uncharacterized. Lineage: Eukaryota; Metazoa; Mollusca; Bivalvia; Ostreida; Ostreidae. The record is from RefSeq and is a predicted model, not a curated record. The transcript is spliced from 2 exons.